UACGUAGGGGGCAAGCGUUGUCCGGAUUUAUUGGGCGUAAAGAGCGUGUAGGCGGUCAGGUAGGUCGGUUGUGAAAACUGGAGGCUCAACCUUCAGAGGUCGACCGAAACCCCCUGGCUAGAGUCCGGGAGAGGAGAGUGGAAUUCCUGGUGUAGCGGUGAAAUGCGCAGAUAUCAGGAAGAACACCCGUGGCGAAAGCGGCUCUCUGGAACGGUACUGACACUGAGGCGCGAAAGCGUGGGGAGCGAACAGG
RNAcentral lists this ribosomal RNA (253 nucleotides) under uncultured bacterium. RNAcentral's name for it is "partial 16S ribosomal RNA". It matches the Rfam family "Bacterial small subunit ribosomal RNA", at positions 524 to 776 of the family's 1533-position model. The record is from RNAcentral.